GGGGACGUAGUUUAAUUAAGAAUGCAGCUUUUGUAAAGCUGUGGUGCGCUUAUUCACUUUGUGGCUGUUCCCA
This 73-nucleotide transfer RNA is filed under the name Metorchis bilis. Its description in RNAcentral is "tRNA-Thr". Lineage: Eukaryota; Metazoa; Platyhelminthes; Trematoda; Opisthorchiida; Opisthorchiidae. The record is from RNAcentral.